Molecule: signal recognition particle RNA, 266 nt
Filed under: Actinomycetes bacterium
Lineage: Bacteria; Bacillati; Actinomycetota; Actinomycetes
Also listed under: 1 other name
Description: Actinobacteria bacterium signal recognition particle sRNA large type
Rfam family: Bacterial large signal recognition particle RNA
About the family: The signal recognition particle (SRP) is a universally conserved ribonucleoprotein involved in the co-translational targeting of proteins to membranes. Archaeal SRP consists of a 7S RNA and homologues of the eukaryotic SRP19 and SRP54 proteins.
Source: RNAcentral
CCGUGCUAGGCGGGGAGGUAGCGGUGCCCUGCACCCGCAAUCCGCUCUAGCGGGGCCGAAUCCCCGUCCGAGGGGUUGGGCCUCGGGGCCAGUACGCCAGUUCGAGGCGUCGAUGGUCAGGUCCCGCGCGGUGAGCGCUCGCGAACCAGGUCAGAUCCGGGAGGAAGCAGCCUUAAGCGAUACCGCUCACGCGCCGCGGGGAAGCCUGACCGGAGCCAACCGCCGACGCGAACGCCCGGGAUCCUUCUUCGACGGCGGGUGCACGG